GUGGGGAAUAUUGGACAAUGGGCGAAAGCCUGAUCCAGCAAUACCGCGUGUGUGAAGAAGGCCUGAGGGUUGUAAAGCACUUUCAAUAGAGACGAAAAGCCUGGAAUUAAUACUUCCGGGUCUUGACUUAACCUAUAGAAGAAGCACCGGCUAACUCCGUGCCAGCAGCCGCGGUAAUACGGAGGGUGCAAGCGUUAAUCGGAAUUACUGGGCGUAAAGCGCUCGUAGGCGGCUUGUUAAGUCGGAUGUGAAAGCCCCGGGCUCAACCUGGGAACUGCAUUCGAUACUGGCAAGCUAGAGUAUAGUAGAGGCAAGUGGAAUUCCGGGUGUAGCGGUGAAAUGCGUAGAUAUCCGGAGGAACAUCAGUGGCGAAGGCGACUUGCUGGACUAAUACUGACGCUGAGGAGCGAAAGCGUGGGGAGCAAACGGG
This 430-nucleotide ribosomal RNA is filed under the name uncultured bacterium. RNAcentral's name for it is "bacterial SSU rRNA". It matches the Rfam family "Bacterial small subunit ribosomal RNA", at positions 354 to 776 of the family's 1533-position model. The record is from RNAcentral.